Molecule: ribosomal RNA, 741 nt
Filed under: uncultured bacterium
Lineage: Bacteria
Description: bacterial SSU rRNA
Rfam family: Bacterial small subunit ribosomal RNA
Source: RNAcentral
AUUGAACGCUGGCGGCAUGCCUAACACAUGCAAGUCGAACGGCAGCACGGGGGCAACCCUGGUGGCGAGUGGCGGACGGGUGAGGAAUACAUAGGAAUCUGCCCAGUCGUGGGGGAUAACGUAGGGAAACUUACGCUAAUACCGCAUACGACGGAGACGUGAAAGUGGGGGACCGCAAGGCCUCACGCGAUUGGAUGAGCCUAUGUCCGAUUAGCUAGUUGGCGGGGUAAGAGCCCACCAAGGCGACGAUCGGUAGCUGGUCUGAGAGGAUGAUCAGCCACACUGGAACUGAGACACGGUCCAGACUCCUACGGGAGGCAGCAGUGGGGAAUAUUGGACAAUGGGCGCAAGCCUGAUCCAGCAAUGCCGCGUGGGUGAAGAAGGCCUCGGGUUGUAAAGCCCUUUUGUACGGGAAGAAAAGCUUCGGAUUAAUACUUCGAGGUCAUGACGGUACCGUAAGAAUAAGCACUGGCUAACUUCGUGCCAGCAGCCGCGGUAAUACGAAGGGUGCAAGCGUUAAUCGGAAUUACUGGGCGUAAAGCGUGCGUAGGUGGUUAGUUAAGUCUGUCGUGAAAGCCCUGGCUCAACCUGGGAAUGGCGAUGGAUACUGGCUGACUAGAGUGCGGUAGAGGGUAGCGGAAUUUCCGGUGUAGCGGUGAAAUGCGUAGAGAUCGGAAGGAACAUCCGUGGCGAAGGCGGCUACCUGGACCAGCACUGACACUGAGGCACGAAAGCGUGGGG